UUCAGCAGAAUUAAACCUAGUUAGUAUUUGGAUGAGAGACUAUCUGAGAAUUCCAGGGCUUUGCUGAAA
This 69-nucleotide ribosomal RNA is filed under the name Pogona vitticeps (central bearded dragon). Lineage: Eukaryota; Metazoa; Chordata; Lepidosauria; Squamata; Agamidae. The record is from RNAcentral.